Molecule: unclassified non-coding RNA, 327 nt
Filed under: uncultured Ascomycota
Lineage: Eukaryota; Fungi; Ascomycota
Description: sequence contains ITS1
Source: RNAcentral
AAUCCGAGAAUUUCACCUCUAGCUGUUCAGUACUGAUGCCCCCAAGAAGCCCCGUUUAAAAUUACUCCGUGCCCUCGAACCGACAAAAGGACAAGAAAUCGUAAUUAUCAUUCCAUGCUAAAAUAUUCAAGGCUUGAAAAACCUGCUUUGAACACUCUAUUUUCCUCAAAGUGAAUGAACUGAGAGACGCUGGGCCCCGUCAGUCGUAUUCUGGAAAUAACAAGUACACGUCAGAGACGGACCAAGAAAUAACAGUGCAGAAGAAAUUCAACUACGAGCGUUUUAACUGCAGCAACUUUAAUAUACGCUAUUGGAGCUGGAAUUACC